AAGCUCUCUCUCUCCCCCCCUUUCCCUUCUCUCCCCGAUGCCCGCUGUACAACUCUAAGCACCGCCGCCACGGUUGAGUUGGGAUCGCAAACGCCGCAUGUGGCGGCGCAGUACUGGUGCAUGUACGACUCUU
RNAcentral lists this non-coding RNA (133 nucleotides) under Polytomella parva. Lineage: Eukaryota; Viridiplantae; Chlorophyta; Chlorophyceae; Chlamydomonadales; Chlamydomonadaceae. The record is from RNAcentral.